Molecule: long non-coding RNA, 1487 nt
Organism: Scophthalmus maximus (turbot)
Lineage: Eukaryota; Metazoa; Chordata; Actinopteri; Pleuronectiformes; Scophthalmidae
Exons: 3
Source: RefSeq, a predicted model, not a curated record
UAUAUUAAAAAAACAUGUACCAUAUAAUAAAUAUAUAGAAGUACAAUGCAUUUACCUGAGUGAAAAAACACAAUGAGAUAUUAUACAAUGCAAUUAUGACAUCUGUAUGAAUUAACAGCUCAUAAUCUGGAGAACAAGAAAAGAUUUUAAUUAAGGACUUUAACGUGUCCAGAGCCAGGAAAUGUGCAGGAAACAUCGCUGCAGACUCAUCACACCCUGAAUACAACCUGUUCCAACUCCUCCCCUCUGAAAAACAGCUUGCCCUUUUUGUGUUGAACCUGUGCAGGGGUUUUCCAUGUUGCUCCAGUGUUUUGGGUAAGCGUGUCUACAUUUAAAGUAUUGUAGCGUUGUAUAGUGUUUGCCAUUAUCCCUACCAGUUAUGACAACAUCAUUUUUAAUCAUCACCUUUACAUUUUGGGUCUACGACAGCAUAUUAGGGCCAUUGUAGGAAAAAAAAAUACUUUUUUUCUUAGUUUUACACAAAUCUUGGAAUUUGGCCAAGUCUUGUAAAUGUAGCUGCUGGCGGAAAAAAACAGACCCUGUCUCUACGCAAGGUGAAUAUAUGCAAAACAAUAAAAUAUCCAUUUUAUAGAUUGCAGAUUAGUUGUAUAAAACAAUGAAGCAGAUUAAAGCACCAUUUUUCAGACUUUUUUCUGAUAAAUGACUUUAAUGUCAGAAAUGUUUUUUUCUCUAAAUAUUACCCCCCCGUAUUUUUUUUUUCUACAAUGAUCCUAAUACGCCGUCUUAGGGGUCUCAGUGACUCCAGUCGUCACAGCUCUACUAUAGAGUUCAAUAAGUAAUGCAGAGGGAGUGGUCAGACACCCAGGCAGGUUUGAGACAAAUGUCUCAUCAAAUUUAACAAUCCAAAUUACAUGAAGGAAAUCAAUGCCAAUGCAUCACAUAUGUUUAUUGAGUGACAGUUUUUGUCACAACUUAAAAUCUGCAUUAACUGAUUGACUUGACUUGAUUUAAUAAUACUGCAAUGAGGAUAGUUUCAAUGAGUUGUGGAACACAGUGACGAAACCAUGAAUGAUAGCAGGCUCCUGCUAUUGCCCAACCAUAAAAGAACCAAACACUCAUCAUGCAGAGUCUGUGAAAAUAUUGUCACAUCUGCACUGGGAAAGAAAUUUGCCACCAUGUUGAUAGCAAAAAGGUCCAUGAUCGUGUAGUAAACAGAUGCUACGCAAAGUCAAAAUGCAACAGAAUGACUGACACACAAGCACUAAACUAAUCAAACAAUGAAUUCUGAAAAGGAAGAAUUGGUUUUGUUAGUGGCUGAGGCAUAUGGCUCUAAUUUUAAAGACGACAUACACUAAAAAAAAAGAAACAUUUUUGAAAGAAUCCUAACAAAUGGUAAAUUGUACACCUCUGUCAUGAUCUUGUGUUCUCAUUUCCUGUUUUAUUUUGAAUUACUUCAUUGUGUUGUUUCACUUCCUGUCCUCUGUCUAGUUUCUGGUGUCUUGUUUUUUCCUGUGUCUCCUGCCCCU